Molecule: non-coding RNA, 947 nt
Organism: Pelodiscus sinensis (Chinese soft-shelled turtle)
Lineage: Eukaryota; Metazoa; Chordata; Testudines; Trionychidae
Source: RefSeq, a predicted model, not a curated record
AGCCUCAAACUUAUUUGGAGCCCACCAGGCCAGCAUAAACACUGCUUCUCUGAAUAUCCAACCUGAACGCAAGACUAUGACAUAGGGUGAGAUCUGUGGAGACCUGGAAGUCGAUGCUUCUCUGUUGCCAGAGGGGGUUAUUUUCAAGGAUCUGAGUAACAACAGGCAAGGCUACAUCAUGCUAAAGCCAGGUGGUGUCAGGUGCCUUCACAACCUGAGACCCAUUAUGGAGCAUCACAUUUAUUUAGGAUCACACUAGCAGUUUUGGACACAGAGUCAUACUGGGAACUUAUGUUCAGCUGAUGAUCCACCACCAUCCCAGACUCUUCAGUCACUAUGUCCCAGAAUGGGGUCUCCCGUCUGAUUAAUUUUAGCUGUUCCCAUGUAAAUGUUGUACACAUGAAAGAUGUCCAGACAAAGGUGAAGACAAAAAUCCUGUAUGCAGAACAGGUGCAUCAGCUACAGCAGUAGACCAACACAAUCAGUACAUCUCACCUCUCAUCCAAAGAAAACAUUCCCUGGACAGAGUAUAAAACAGUAUUUGUGCCCCUUUCAUCCUUGCCUUCUACAUUGAAGCUUCCAGCAACAUUGCCUGUUGUUGUCUGAUGAACUGAGCUGAUGAGAUGUUGGGGAUGCGAGUACCCAUCUGCUGGAAACUGUGCUGAAAAUUAAAUCCAUUUUAUAGCCAAACAUAACAGUUGAGGCCUUUUACUGUGUUAAUCAUUCUAAAGCAAAGUCAGAUAGAAGAAUAUUUAAAAAGAUGCUUUACUUUGUUCACAUUCUUGGACUGAAUGUCAGAAUUCCAGUGUGAGUGACUGUCCAGACAAAGAAAGUGUACUUUCUUAUCACCUGGUCACUGUGCUGUCAAUAUUAGCAUUAUCUAGGCAAACACUCUGCAAGAGAAGCAACUCACCAAGAAUUGGAAAUAAUUAUGUUGAACUUUGCAU